This 903-nucleotide ribosomal RNA is filed under the name Triticum aestivum (bread wheat). Its description in RNAcentral is "partial small subunit ribosomal RNA". The record is from RNAcentral. Lineage: Eukaryota; Viridiplantae; Streptophyta; Magnoliopsida; Poales; Poaceae.
AUGUCCCCUGCCAAGACCGACGCCUUCCUAGUCGCCAAGGACCCGUUGUUCCUCUGUGUCAAAGUGGAGAAAACCCUGGCCCCCGUCGUCGCGGGGCUCACUGACCUCUGUCUCUCGCGUUCUGAGAUCACAUGCCUUGUCUCGCUCCCCUGCGGUAGAUUCCGUUGUAGAUCCAUAGUCUCCAGAUUGCACUACUACCUUCCUGUCUUUGGGUCAUCUGAGAACCUCCUUCGCGCCCUCAAGGGGAAUUUUUAUCUUUUCUCGUCUGACCUCGACGGUGUGGUCAAGCCCAAGGUCAUGUUUCUGCGGGACUGCGGGCUAGGUGCUUGUGAUAUUGCCAAGCUAUGCAGCAAUCAACCAGGUCUACUCACCACCAAUCUAGAGCGCUGCCAGGGACCGGUGGCAUGUGCCAAAAAGAUAGGUGUGCCCCGUGGUUCUGGGAUGUUCAGGCACGCGUUGAAUGCUGUCGCAUCCCGCGGCGGGAAGAAGAUCGCGGCCAGAGUGGAGCACUUGAAGUGCACGUUCACGUGGUCGGAUGCUGAGCUGAGAAUUGAUGUUUCUAGGUUCCCAUUGAUGCUGACGAGGUCCAAAGAAUCACUGCAGCGUAGAUCUGAGUUCCUUAUCUCCGAGGUGGGCUUGGAAGCGGCUUACAUUGCUCAUCGACCCGUAAUGCUCGGUCUCAGUCUAGAGGGCCGGCUCAGGCCCCGCUACUAUGCUGUAAUGUUUCUCAAGGAAAAUGGAUUGCUCAAGCGCGACCGAGACUUCUUUAGUACAGUAGUGGUCAGCGAGAAGGUAUUUAUGGAAAGGUUCAUAUGCCCUCACAAGAAAGCUGCACCGCAUCUCGCUAAAGACUAUGCAACCGGUUGCAGAGGAGAAGUGUCUGCCAGAUUCAGUUUUACAUGA